CACGUAGGCACCAAGCGUUGUUCGGAUUUACUGGGCGUAAAGCGCACGUAGGCGGAUUGUUAAGUCGGGGGUGAAAUCCUGGAGCUCAACUCCAGAAUUGCCUUCGAUACUGGCUUUCUAGAGGCUGGAAGAGGUUAGUGGAAUUCCCAGUGUAGAGGUGAAAUUCGUAGAUAUUGGGAAGAACACCAGUGGCGAAGGCGGCUAACUGGUCCAGAUCUGACGCUGAGGUGCGAAAGCGUGGGGAGCAAACAGG
RNAcentral lists this ribosomal RNA (253 nucleotides) under uncultured bacterium. Its description in RNAcentral is "partial 16S ribosomal RNA". It matches the Rfam family "Bacterial small subunit ribosomal RNA", at positions 524 to 776 of the family's 1533-position model. The record is from RNAcentral.